Long non-coding RNA from Nothobranchius furzeri (turquoise killifish), 4522 nucleotides. RefSeq lists it as uncharacterized. The record is from RefSeq and is a predicted model, not a curated record. Lineage: Eukaryota; Metazoa; Chordata; Actinopteri; Cyprinodontiformes; Nothobranchiidae.
AACCUGCAACCUUCCGAUUACGGGGCGAGCACUUCACUCCUGUGCCACCGUUGCCACUAAAGGCAAAUAAUUUUAAACAAUACGUGUGUGUAAACCGUAAACAAACAGGUGAUUUCAUCUUUAACGAUAGAAGUCAAGCUUAUGACACAAAGAGUCAAUCAAGUCAGCAGGUUUCUGUCUCUGAGGAAUAAAAACACUUUACUAAUGCUUCUUCAGACAGCAUCUGAUCUGUUGUUUGGAUGAUUCAGGUCGUCGUGUAAAUAAAAGGUGCUUCGGUGUGCUCACGCUCCUGUUUGUCUCCUUGAGUGAGAUUUGUUUAAGCAAAAACUGGAAACCGUGUUGGGAAGACUCCUUGUUCCCCAGCACAAAUGCAAUCUGAGACGCACAGAUAAAUCCACUCUGUCCUGUAUUAACUUUGCUGCUGGAAUUUGUUUGAGUACAUUCUGUGACUUGGGGGGAAGCCAAAACUCCAGCCCUCUGCUCUCAUAUCUCAUGUUGCAACUGAUGGCUGCAGGCCGAGCUGGAGUCCGCAGCCACUGGGCCAUCACGCACAGGGAGGAGCCGGCUCAUUGUGCAGGAUUCGCUCUCACGCUAGCAAUAAUGAGACCGGCGCUGCUUCUGUUUAACUCGCUACCUCGCUCCUCAGGAUCUGUUCUGUACUAAGUCCAUUAGAGUUUUAUCACUUUUGCACAGUUGAAAAAGAAAAAUGAAGAGAGGACAGUAAACAUCCUUCAGGGUUGUGCAACAACCGUCCGUGUGUGUCCCAUACCCAGCCUGUCAGUCGUGUGACAUGAAAGAAUUGCUUUUAUAACCUUUUUUGCUGUGUUGAUUCAGUCCUUUUAGCCGUGUCACACGAGUGAUGCAAUUUAAACAUGAGGAAAAGUGAGUGACUGUGGGCAAGCAAACACCAAGGCACACAUUACGGAGGUUAUAAACGGCCUGGAACACUAAUUAAAGAAUAUUAUUUUCAGAGCUCGCGGAAGUGCUUGUGUUGCAACAAUUAGACAAGUAAACCUUUUAAAAAAGCUAUUUGACCUCAUGCCGCUGGGUUAGGAGCUCAUAAAACGUCUCGUCAGACGGAAGCCACCGUGGUCCUGGCUUUCCGGUUCCUUUGGAACGGUCAGCCCAUCUCUGCACCAAUAAACUUCUGCAUCUCAGAACAGGAGGAUCCUAGCCGUUUUAAAAAUGACUCAUAAGGAGCCGUCAGCAGCACGUUACUGCAGCAGCACGUCUUGCUCGCGUAAGCUGCUGCUUGGCCCUUCCCACGAGACGCGAAGCAGCAGGGGAGCAGCUGUCACCGACAGAGCACGAAGUCACACGAGUGACUUCGUCAGUGAACACAACAACAAGCAGGAGAAAACUACAACAUGGCUCCAAAAGGGGCGGCGUUAGGCCCGGCUACUUGGGCUGAAGCCCCGGAUCUUUAAUGAAAAGCCCCGGAUCUAAAUCGCGGAAGUAACAUGCAGUACCAAAGUCCAACAGAGAGGGAGCAGCUGGCAGUAGUUUGUAUGCGGCCUGCCUGAGCCUCCACCACUGAAGAAGAAGCCCUUCAGCAGCUGGCUUCUUCUGCACUCUCUGCCUGAAACACGAGUGAAGAUGGACAUAAGGACGUAUUUUAGACCAAAAGUACGGCGACAGAACCCCAGCUUUGAUGAGACUGGUGUUGACUCAGGUUUGUGAGUCUUAUUUGAAAAUAUUUGUUGUGCUGCUGGUUUGCCUAAAGUUAGCUUACUAUCAGGUAAAGUUGUUGGAGAAAGAAAGGGAAUAUUUACUAUCAUCUCACACUAAACACUAACAGGAACAAUAUUCUGCCCUGAAUAUGCUUAAUAUGUAGCUUCAGAUUAAAAAUUAUGUGGUACAAGACAUAUAUGAUGUUGACUAGUGUGUGUCACAUGUGUGCGCGCGCGUGCGUGUUUGUGCGUGUUUUAAGCCCUGGAUGUUCUUCAGUUCUUAAUCCGCCCCUGGUAUCAUGGUCCGAUACAUGAAAUAAAAUAAAAUCUAUUUUUUCAAGUAUUUGAUGCAGUACUUAGAUCGUCCACAAGGAUUCGUGCAGAGUUGAUUGGAGGUGAAGUUUGAGGAACGUACUGAUCCUGUUAACGGGACAGAGGUAGAAGAAAAUUAGGAUUCGUUCAAGCAAACACACAUUUGGCAUUUAGGGGUUAAGUACUGCAAUCUGCAAAUGUGAGUUGCAGCGUAAUGAUGCAGAUGAAUCCACACAAGAACCAUUUUCUGGCUGUUCGCCUCAGAGAGACAGGUUGUCUCCAGCGUGCACCAGGUACCUGGUCAUUUUCUGAAAUUACUGUAACGACUCAUCAUCUGAAUGAAGUCAUGGUCCCAGGAUGUGGGUUACCUCUAGAUGCUGUUCUACUGGAUCUUUCUGGAUCUCCUGAAUGUGGUCACCCACGUUCAUAUGGCUGUUGCUGGACAGGUAUCGGCACGCUGAGGAACGCUCAGGCAGAACUUUAACGGUCGACCUUUUUAACCUGAGAAAUAAUUCUCUUUCCUACUUUUCAACAGAAAAUCCGAAGCCCAGCUGACAGCAGAUGGUCAAACGCUCAGACUGACCGCUUGAGAUCUUUUUUAGACCAGUUAAGUGAGAAACCACCAUGACCUCACUGAGCUGGAGCAUUGGCUGAUGCCCUCAAAGCCAGAUCUUCCUUCUUUAAACACUCUUAAGACAAGCAAAUGACCUCCGACUGCUGCUUGUAAAUCCCCAACUGUCACUUUUAGUUAAAGCUCUUUCUAAAUCAUUGCAAGCAGGCAGUAUUUUUGUGUUUGAGUAAGGUCUUACUAACAGAUGCCCAUUAGGGUCAAAAAUCCAUGGGAGAGCAACCUCCAGCAACAUAAACGCAUCAGACUCCCGUUCAUCACUGGCAACGAGUGAAGAGGUAAAUGUGUAAAACAACAUCUACGAAUGGCAAAAGUUUUAUAACAAUUUGAUACAAAUCAGUGAAUGCUUUUUGACCUCACGAGCUCCCAUAAAAGGAAACAUGGCGUCUAAUGUGACUUAGACCCGCUCCCAUGUUAUUUAGACCAGAUUUUCAUGGUUAUAAGUUACGAAGGCGCCAAUAUUUUUCAACACCUGAGCAUCAUUGAAUUAAUUUUCAACAUUUCGAUGGAUAUCUCCAGAGAUUAACAGUAAAAACUACACCAUGUCUCUUUAAAAUCUAAAAAAAAAAUCAAUUUAAAAAGUCAAACCUUUUAAAUGCAGCUUAUCUCGACUCCCUUUCUUACAAACUUCCUAGUUUUAUUCUGGUUGAUGCUGUGGUGAAAUAUUCCUGUUUUCACUGGUAUAUUACAAAAUAUGACUUCUGUGUUAUUCAGAAUCAGCCAUUAAUCUUGUCUGAUGCUAAAAACUUUUACUUCCUUAUUUCUUCAAGGUUGCGGCUGUUAGUUAAAUGCACCAAAACAUGCUGUUACACCUCCAGUCAUUCCUGUGGUCCUUCCUCCUCGGCAUUGUGCUAACACACAACUGUAUGCUCCAGAGAAGCUAACAACACUUAAGGUGGAACGACACCAUGCAAUACAAUGUGCUCUUGUUUGGUAAGGGCUUUUGGUUUAUCAAAGCUACAAAGAGAAGUACUUGCAACAUCAAAACUCUACAGUCUGCUGCUUGACUCAAUCCUGCUGUUUUUCUGUCAGGCCAAAUAUAAAAAUCUGAGUUUUUACUUAAGCUAUUUUUCAUUUUCAUUUCUGAAUAUCGGAUUAAAUAGUUUUGUGCACUAAGGCCGGUCCAACGUGCAUCCCAAACUAAACACAAGUCAGGAUGAAAUUAAAUGAAACGUUUUGAUUUAGUAAUCUCUCAUAAGCUCUACAGAUCCUAAUUAAAAGUGAUGUUAGUAAUAAAAACGGCUAGUCCACACACAGCUGAUUCAUAAUCUUAUGUCUGGCUGUGGAGCAGAUGAGUGUUAAAGGUCAAACAGCGGCCUGAGCUGAGUGUCAGUGGCUAAGAAGAAAUGAAAGAGGAUGAAGAGGAGGAUGGGGGAAGGGGAGAUCCGUCCGUCAGAGCUGCGGUCUGGGCUCAGAGGAGUGGCAUGACCUCGGUGCGGUCCCACACCGAGCGCAUUACUGAGCGUCUGAGAGGGAUUUAAGGUCCAGGGCUUAACACAGAUCAGGCUGUGGUUCUCUGCCUCAGGUUAAAAAACGGGAUGGGGCUCAGAGCCACUCCAACAGAGGCGGUGGCACCAGUAGCACCAACAAUUAUUAUAGAGCAACUUCAUUGAGAAAACCGUUUCUUUACUUGUUAUUUAACACAAUUGGUCACUCUGAGUUGUAGAGGCUGAGCUCUGGUCACUCUGAGGCUGAACGUAAACAUGUUCUUCCACCCCUUCUUCCUGCAUUAGCUGCCAAAAACAAAAUAGACAGGAAAAUGGUCACAUCUGAUAAAGCCACACAGAUCUACAUCAAACUGUCUAUCUGCAUCCAUGGUCUCACCAGAGCCGUGUCCAGGACUUUUAAAAUGGGGUGGCCCAUGUGGGGCACUUGUUUAUGCAUGGGUGGCACCAAUGGUUAUGCUUAUUUA